AUACGGAGGGUGCAAGCGUUAUCCGGAUUCAUUGGGUUUAAAGGGUGCGCAGGCGGAUAUUUAAGUCAGUGGUGAAAUCCCGGGGCUCAACCUCGGAACUGCCAUUGAUACUGAAUAUCUGGAAUACGGUUGAAGUGGGCGGAAUGUAGCAUGUAGCGGUGAAAUGCAUAGAGAUGCUACAGAACACCGAUCGCGAAGGCAGCUCACUAAGCCGAUAUUGACGCUCUGGCACGAAAGCGUGGGGAGCAAACAGGAUUAGAAACCCUAGUAGUCC
RNAcentral lists this ribosomal RNA (274 nucleotides) under uncultured bacterium. RNAcentral's name for it is "partial 16S ribosomal RNA". It matches the Rfam family "Bacterial small subunit ribosomal RNA", at positions 523 to 796 of the family's 1533-position model. The record is from RNAcentral.